Non-coding RNA from Struthio camelus australis, 450 nucleotides. The record is from RefSeq and is a predicted model, not a curated record. Lineage: Eukaryota; Metazoa; Chordata; Aves; Struthioniformes; Struthionidae.
UGACACUAUCUGUGGUGGAGAGCAGACUGACCGAUGUGGGAUAUAUCAUUACUUGAGGAAAUGUAAGUUUGCAAAAGAGACGGUUAUGGAACAUAAAGAAGAAAAAAGCAAGAACUUAUUUAUACCGACAGAGAGAAGUUCUCUAAUAGACCUCCUCGCCUCUUCUUCAAAGGAACUUCCCACUCCCAGUAGCCAUGGGGCUCUUCUGAAAAUGAAAUGCAAGAUGAACAAAGCCCUCAGGACAGCAGAGACACACGGACGGCACCGUAUACAGGAGCCCUUGGGACUGCACUGCCAACCAAACGUCAACCUAGCCUUUCGGGCACAUUGCACAGGUAUUGCACAUGUGUUUAUCUGGGAUAUUCCCCGCAGAUGUCUAGGAAGAGAGAAGAUCUCUGUGGCCUCUGCUGUUGCCAUGGCUUAAAAACAUCAUUUCUUAGUGGUGUUGAU